CGGGGAAUAUUCCGCAAUGGACGAAAGUCUGACGGAGCAACGCCGCGUGAGUGAUGAAGGUUUUCGGACUGUAAAGCUCUGUUGUUUAGGACGAAAGUGCCUGCUGCGAACAGUUGCAGGUAUUGACGGUACUGAACGAGGAAGCCACGGCUAACUACGUGCCGGCAGCCGCGGUAAUACGUAGGUGGCAAGCGUUGUCCGGAAUUAUUGGGCGUAAAGAGCAUGUAGGCGGGAAUCUAAGUCUGUUGUGAAAAUGCGGGGCUCAACCCCGUAUGGCGAUGGAAACUGGAUUUCUUGAGUGCAGGAGAGGAAAGGGGAAUUCCCAGUGUAGCGGUGAAAUGCGUAGAUAUUGGAAGGAACACCAGUGGCGAAGGCGCCUUUCUGGACUGUGUCUGACGCUGAGAUGCGAAAGCCAGGGUAGCGAACGG
Molecule: ribosomal RNA, 428 nt
Filed under: uncultured bacterium
Lineage: Bacteria
Description: bacterial SSU rRNA
Rfam family: Bacterial small subunit ribosomal RNA
Source: RNAcentral